UCUAUGGCCAUACCACCCUGAACGCGCCCAAUCUCGUCUGAUCUCGGAAGCUAGCAGGGUCUGGUUAGUACUUGGAUGGGAGAUAUUAUAAAGCCAAUAAAA
Molecule: ribosomal RNA, 102 nt
Organism: Pan paniscus (pygmy chimpanzee)
Lineage: Eukaryota; Metazoa; Chordata; Mammalia; Primates; Hominidae
Source: Ensembl